UACAGAGGGGGCAAGCGUUAUUCGGAAUUAUUGGGCGUAAAGGGCGCGUAGGCGGCUUUGCAAGUGACGGGUGAAAUCCCACGGCUUAACCGUGGAACUGCCUGUCAGACUGCAUGGCUUGAGACCAGGAGAGGUGAGUGGAAUUCCCAGUGUAGCGGUGAAAUGCGUAGAUAUUGGGAAGAACACCUGAGGCGAAGGCGGGUUGCUGGGCUGAUACUGACGCUGAGGCGCGAAAGCCAGGGGAGCAAACGGG
Molecule: ribosomal RNA, 253 nt
Filed under: uncultured bacterium
Lineage: Bacteria
Description: partial 16S ribosomal RNA
Rfam family: Bacterial small subunit ribosomal RNA
Source: RNAcentral